CGGUUGAUCCUGCCGGAGGUUACUGCUAUCGGUGUUCGCCUAAGCCAUGCGAGUCAUAUGUUCUUCGUGAACAUGGCGUACUGCUCAGUAACACGUGGAUAACCUGCCCUUGGGUCCGGCAUAACCCCGGGAAACUGGGGAUAAUACCGGAUAACGCAUAUAUGCUGGAAUGCUUUAUGCGUCAAAUGGAUUCGUCUGCCCAAGGAUGGGUCUGCGGCCUAUCAGGUAGUAGUGGGUGUAAUGUACCUACUAGCCGACGACGGGUACGGGUUGUGAGAGCAAGAGCCCGGAGAUGGAUUCUGAGACAUGAAUCCAGGCCCUACGGGGCGCAGCAGGCGCGAAAACUUUACAAUGGCGGGAAACCGUGAUAAGGGGACACCGAGUGC
Molecule: ribosomal RNA, 386 nt
Filed under: uncultured archaeon
Lineage: Archaea
Description: bacterial SSU rRNA
Rfam family: Archaeal small subunit ribosomal RNA
Source: RNAcentral